Molecule: unclassified non-coding RNA, 243 nt
Filed under: Hevea brasiliensis (rubber tree)
Lineage: Eukaryota; Viridiplantae; Streptophyta; Magnoliopsida; Malpighiales; Euphorbiaceae
Source: RNAcentral
GGCAACUAAGCAGCAAUAGCAUAGUCAUAAGCACUUGAAUAAACUGUCGUCGCAUUUGAUGCUACAGAAGUCCUAAAUUAACUAGCAGCUUCUGUAUUGUUUUUCGACCCCAUNUGAGUGUCAUUUUGCGGAACAACAUUUUCAAUGGACUCUGAUUCUUUCUGCUUUCCGUCAUCAGCUACCUCAACUGCUUCUUCUUGACUUGGAUCGCCAACAAUUUCAUGCUUCUCAUCUGACUCUGGC